CCCCGAGUCACACAGGUGGCCCUCUUCGUCUGCAUUUUUCCCCCUCCAGAGGUUGCCUAGGAGGUUUGUGUAAUUGCCUUGUGCUC
Molecule: long non-coding RNA, 86 nt
Filed under: Sus scrofa (pig)
Lineage: Eukaryota; Metazoa; Chordata; Mammalia; Artiodactyla; Suidae
Description: lncRNA (ENSSSCG00050059708.1)
Source: RNAcentral